This 301-nucleotide ribosomal RNA is filed under the name uncultured bacterium. RNAcentral describes it as "partial 16S ribosomal RNA". It matches the Rfam family "Bacterial small subunit ribosomal RNA", at positions 509 to 807 of the family's 1533-position model. The record is from RNAcentral.
CAGUAGCCGCGGUAACACGGAGGGUGCAAGCGUUAAUCGGAAUUACUGGGCGUAAAGCGCACGCAGGCGGUCUGUUAAGUCAGAUGUGAAAUCCCCGGGCUCAACCCGGGAACUGCAUUUGAAACUGGCAGGCUUGAGUCUUGUAGAGGGGGGUAGAAUUCCAGGUGUAGCGGUGAAAUGCGUAGAGAUCUGGAGGAAUACCGGUGGCGAAGGCAGCCAUCUGGCCUAAUACUGACGCUGAGGUACGAAAGCAUGGGGAGCAAACAGGAUUAGAUACCCCGGUAGUCCCUGUCUCUUAUAC